RNAcentral lists this ribosomal RNA (157 nucleotides) under Odontarrhena corsica. RNAcentral's name for it is "5.8S ribosomal RNA". It matches the Rfam family "5.8S ribosomal RNA". Rfam says of the family: 5.8S ribosomal RNA (5.8S rRNA) is a component of the large subunit of the eukaryotic ribosome. It is transcribed by RNA polymerase I as part of the 45S precursor that also contains 18S and 28S rRNA. Functionally, it is thought that 5.8S rRNA may be involved in ribosome translocation. The record is from RNAcentral. Lineage: Eukaryota; Viridiplantae; Streptophyta; Magnoliopsida; Brassicales; Brassicaceae.
AAACGACUCUCGGCAACGGAAUAUUUGGGCUCUUCGCAUCGAUAAAGAACGUAGCGAAAUGCGAUACUUGGUGUGAAUUCCAGAAUCCCGUAAACCAUCGAGUCUUUGAACGCAAGUUGCGCCCCAAGCCUUCUGGCCGAGGGCACGUCUGCCUGGG